GACAGAGGUGCCGAGCGUUAGGCGGAAUCACUGGGCUUAAAGCGUGUGUAGGCGGGUCGUUAAGUACCUUGUGAAAUCCCCCGGCUCAACCGGGGAAUGGCUGGGUAUACUGGCGAUCUUGAGCGAUCCAGGGGCAGAUGGAGCAAGUGGUGGAGCGGUGAAAUGCGUAGAUAUCACUUGGAACGCCAAAGGUGAAGACAGUCUGCUGGGGAUCUGCUGACGCUGAGACACGAAAGCCAGGGGAGCGAACGGG
Molecule: ribosomal RNA, 253 nt
Filed under: uncultured bacterium
Lineage: Bacteria
Description: partial 16S ribosomal RNA
Rfam family: Bacterial small subunit ribosomal RNA
Source: RNAcentral